Molecule: transfer RNA, 74 nt
Filed under: archaeon
Lineage: Archaea
Description: tRNA-Pro
Rfam family: tRNA
About the family: Transfer RNA (tRNA) molecules are approximately 80 nucleotides in length. Their secondary structure includes four short double-helical elements and three loops (D, anti-codon, and T loops).
Source: RNAcentral
GGGGCUAUGGUGUAGCUUGGCUAUCACUAGUGGUUUGGGGCCACUCAACCGCGGUUCGAAUCCGCGUAGCCCCA